This 208-nucleotide ribosomal RNA is filed under the name uncultured Syntrophaceae bacterium. Its description in RNAcentral is "partial 16S ribosomal RNA". It matches the Rfam family "Bacterial small subunit ribosomal RNA", at positions 568 to 774 of the family's 1533-position model. The record is from RNAcentral. Lineage: Bacteria; Pseudomonadati; Thermodesulfobacteriota; Syntrophia; Syntrophales; Syntrophaceae.
CGUGUAGGCGGCUGGAUAAGUCAGAUGUGAAAGCCCUGGGCUUAACCCAGGAAGUGCAUUUGAAACUGUUCAGCUUGAGUAAGGGAGAGGAAAGUGGAAUUCCUGGUGUAGAGGUGAAAUUCGUAGAUAUCAGGAGGAACACCGGUGGCGAAGGCGACUUCCUGGCCCUAUACUGACGCUGAGACGCGAGAGCGUGGGGUAGCAAACA